RNA transcript from Mus musculus (house mouse), 1907 nucleotides. It is a transcript of the gene named enkurin domain containing 1, with no coding region annotated. The transcript is spliced from 6 exons. The record is from RefSeq and is marked validated. Lineage: Eukaryota; Metazoa; Chordata; Mammalia; Rodentia; Muridae.
GCCCAAAGCUGCUGCAAUUGGAGUACAUCUCCCUUGGUUGGGGGGGUGGUGGUGUCUCCUAACUACAUAUUGGCCACAAAAUAUGAAGGUAACCAGCUUAGGCCUCUCUACUUGUAGGGCUUGGCCUGGCAGUUAGAGGGUUGGGUUACCUAGAGUCCCACCUCUCCUGCCCUACCCCUCCAUCUCCCGAGCUUUGAAAUGCCCAAGUCACCUCAAGGCUCUCUGCAACCUGGGCUAACCCUACUGCUGCCCCAUUCUGGGUUUCUGGCUGCCUCUUGGCCCCUUCUGAGGCCAUAGGCUAUGAGGAAUCAGUGCAUCCCUCGACAGUUGAUCAGAGAAAACCUCAGGCCCAGAGCGGGGCUGGACUGGUACUCAGUGCUGGUAGGGGAGACAGGUUGAGAGGUAAGGCUCCUGUUGAGACCCGAGACUUAGAAUCACUCCUCAUCUGGAACUACAAACCCCAGAAGGCUGUUCGCCUUAGUCAUUUGACCCCUGACCUCAGGAAGCCAUUUGUUGCCAAGCAACAGCAACUCCUACCGGCUUGCAACAGUUGGCGGUAAAACUGCUCCAGUGAGAGCCCUCGCUGGGGCUUGGCGGGGGAGGGGCGGCGAACCCCUCUGGGCAGUGGGCUAGUCGCGGGGCGGUGGUACAGUCUGCGCCUAGAGACGGGCGGUCGUCGAGGGGUGGGGCUCGGUGAUGGGGGCUACCGCGGGGAUGCAGGGCUCGGGUGGAGGGUGGAAGCACCCGACAGGGAUUAGAGGGGAAAGUUGCGCAGCGCAACAGGCCCUGGUGCACUGUUGCAGGGCUGCGGUAGGAUCAUGUGCGAGGGCCCGUCCCGCAUCUCUGGACCCAUCCCCCCAGACCCCACUCUCUGCCCGGACUACUACCGGCGGCCGGCCUCGGCCCAAGGACGCCUGGAAGGAAACGCGUUGAAGCUGGACCUGCUGACUUCAGGUCGGGACCUGGACUCCAGUCCUCCUCGUGGCCCUCGCAUCAGGCCUGAAGCCCGAGAGAUCCUAGAGCGUGGCCAGCGAGGCGUGGGGGACGUGCUGCUGCAACUGGGGUGCAUCUCCCUCGGUUCGGGGGUCUCUCCUAAGAGGAAGAAUCCAAAGGACCAUGAGAAGGAAAACUUGAGGCGGAUCAAAGAGAUUCAGAGGCGCUUCCAAGACCAGGAACGCAGCCGGGAACAGGGUCAGCCUAAGCCACUGAAGGCACUGUGGCGCUCACCCAAGUAUGACAAUGUGGAGUCUCGAGUCAAGGCCAGGAUGAAGGAGCUUGGCCCCACCUCUGUGACAGAACCUGCCCACUUUCUGCGGGCACACUCCCGCUGUGGCCCUGGGCUCCCACCAUCCCGUGCCUCCAGUCCUCAGCUCGCCCUUCCAGGUCCCCAAGCUAAGCUUGUUGGAACGCAGGGACCUGUGGCGGAAGGAAGCGGAAGCUCGCCAGCGUAGCCAGCCAGACCCGUCCAUGCCCCCGGGCCACACACUCAUGCCUGAGAAUCAGCGGCUGGAGACCCUGAACAAUCUGCUACAAAGCCAGAGCCAGCUGCUACGUGAGCUAGUACUAUUACCUGCUGGGGCAGACUCGCUGAGAGCCCAGGGUCAUCGUGCUGAACUGGACCGGAAGUUGGUGCAAAUAGAAGAGGCUAUCAAGAUCUUUUCCCGACCCAAAGUCUUUGUGAAGAUGGAUACCUAGUCCUUCCCCGCUUGGUACCCACCAAGAGUAACAGGGAGAUAUGUGUGCGGAUCACCACGUGGCUGCCAAGGGCAGACUCAAGCCCUGUCAUAGCUCAAAGACAGGAGCGUUGGGGUGGGCAGAAUCGAAAGCACUUCUUAGUCACCAGGGGCUGCAGAAGGGCCACCAGCCUCCCAACUUCUCUGUCAAAAUUAAACCUUUUGUACACAGUG